RNAcentral lists this ribosomal RNA (460 nucleotides) under uncultured bacterium. RNAcentral's name for it is "partial 16S ribosomal RNA". It matches the Rfam family "Bacterial small subunit ribosomal RNA", at positions 338 to 795 of the family's 1533-position model. The record is from RNAcentral.
CCUACGGGAGACAGCAGUGAGGAAUAUUGGUCAAUGGACGAGAGUCUGAACCAGCCAAGUAGCGUGCAGGAUGACUGCCCUAUGGGUUGUAAACUGCUUUUAUAUGGGAAUAAAAUGUUCCACGUGUGGGAUGUUGUAUGUACCAUAUGAAUAAGGAGAGGCUAACUCCGUGCCAGCAGCCGCGGUAAUACGGCGGAUCCGAGCGUUAUCCGGAUUUAUUGGGUUUAAAGGGAGCGUAGGUGGAUUGUUAAGUCAGUUGUGAAAGUUUGCGGCUCAACCGUAAAAUUGCAGUUGAAACUGGCAGUCUUGAGUACAGUAGAGGUGGGCGGAAUUCGUGGUGUAGCGGUGAAAUGCUUAGAUAUCACGCAGAACUCCGAUUGCGAAGGCAGCAUACCGGCGCUCAACUGACGCUCAUGCACGAAAGUGUGGGUAUCGAACAGGAUUAGAUACCCUGGUAGUC